GAUGAACGCUGGCGGCGUGCUUAACACAUGCAAGUCGAACGGGAAACCUUUUAUUGAAGCUUCGGCAGAUUUAGCUGGUUUCUAGUGGCGGACGGGUGAGUAACGCGUGGGUAACCUGCCCUAUACAGGGGGAUAACAACCAGAAAUGGUUGCUAAUACCGCAUAAGCGCACAGGGCCGCAUGGUCCGGUGUGAAAAACUCCGGUGGUAUAGGAUGGACCCGCGUUGGAUUAGCCAGUUGGCAGGGUAACGGCCUACCAAAGCGACGAUCCAUAGCCGGCCUGAGAGGGUGAACGGCCACAUUGGGACUGAGACACGGCCCAGACUCCUACGGGAGGCAGCAGUGGGGAAUAUUGCACAAUGGGGGAAAGCCUGAUGCAGCGACGCCGCGUGAAGGAAGAAGUAUCUCGGUAUGUAAACUUCUAUCAGCAGGGAAGAUAGUGACGGUACCUGAAGAAGAAGCCCCGGCUAACUACGUG
Molecule: ribosomal RNA, 478 nt
Filed under: uncultured bacterium
Lineage: Bacteria
Description: partial 16S ribosomal RNA
Rfam family: Bacterial small subunit ribosomal RNA
Source: RNAcentral